Molecule: ribosomal RNA, 250 nt
Filed under: uncultured bacterium
Lineage: Bacteria
Description: partial 16S ribosomal RNA
Rfam family: Bacterial small subunit ribosomal RNA
Source: RNAcentral
GACGAACCGUCCGAACGUUAUUCGGAAUUAUUGGGCUUAAAGGGUGCGUAGGCGGCCUUGUAAGUCGGGUGUGAAAUCCCACGGCUCAACCGUGGAACUGCGCCCGAUACUGCAUGGCUUGAGGGAGACAGAGGUAAGCGGAACUGAUGGUGGAGCGGUGAAAUGCGUUGAUAUCAUCAGGAACACCGGUGGCGAAAGCGGCUUACUGGGUCUCUUCUGACGCUGAGGCACGAAAGCUAGGGUAGCGAAC